This 406-nucleotide ribosomal RNA is filed under the name uncultured bacterium. RNAcentral describes it as "partial 16S ribosomal RNA". It matches the Rfam family "Bacterial small subunit ribosomal RNA", at positions 29 to 526 of the family's 1533-position model. The record is from RNAcentral.
AUUGAACGCUGGCGGCAGGCCUAACACAUGCAAGUCGCGCGAGCGGCGGACGGGUGAGUAAUGUCUGGGAAACUGCCUGAUGGCGGGGGAUAACUACUGGAAACGGUAGCUAAUACCGCCUACCAUCAGCUGUGCCCAGAUGGGAUUCGCUAGUAGGUAGGGUAACGGCUCACCUAGGCGACGAUCCCUAGCUGGUCUGAGAGGAUGACCAGCGACACUGAAAUUGAGACACGGCCCAGACUCCUACGGGAGGCAGCAGUGGAGAAUAUUGGACAAUGGGGGCAAGACUGAAGCAGCCAUGAGGCGUGUGUGAAGAAGGCGUUCGGGUUGAAAAGCACGUUGAGCGGGGAGGCGUUACCCGCAGAAGAAGCACCGGCUAACUCCGUGCCAGCAGCCGCGGUAAUUC